UACGUAGGGUGCAAGCGUUAAUCGGAAUCACUGGGCGUAAAGGGUGCGUAGGCGGGUCUUUUAAGUCAGGGGUGAAAUCCUGGAGCUCAACUCCAGAACUGCCUUUGAUACUGAGGAUCUUGAGUUCGGGAGAGGUGAGUGGAACUGCGAGUGUAGAGGUGAAAUUCGUAGAUAUUCGCAAGAACACCGGUGGCGAAGGCGGCUCACUGGCCCGGAACUGACGCUGAGGCACGAAAGCGUGGGGAGCAAACAGG
RNAcentral lists this ribosomal RNA (254 nucleotides) under uncultured bacterium. Its description in RNAcentral is "partial 16S ribosomal RNA". It matches the Rfam family "Bacterial small subunit ribosomal RNA", at positions 524 to 776 of the family's 1533-position model. The record is from RNAcentral.